Carnobacterium sp. is the source of this 62-nucleotide regulatory RNA element. It matches the Rfam family "Ribosomal protein L13 leader". From Rfam's summary of the family: This family is a putative r-protein leader autoregulatory structure found in B. subtilis and other low-GC Gram-positive bacteria. It is located in the 5' untranslated regions of mRNAs encoding the L13-S9 (rplM-rpsI) ribosomal protein operon. The record is from Rfam. NCBI's taxonomy places the organism in Bacteria, Bacillati, Bacillota, Bacilli, Lactobacillales, Carnobacteriaceae.
GGUAUUGUUUGCCCCACAUAAUGAGCCCCGGAAACUUAUAUUGUGCAACAAACAAACAGAUA